UUCCUCGAAACACACCCUCCUCUUCUUUGAAACAAUGCCUUAAAAGCGAAAACCUUAACACAGAGCUCAUCACCCUAACGGCGGCGGCGCUCUUCACCUAACAUAGAGCUCAUCGCCGGUGCUCUCACUCUCUCCCCUAAUAACACUCGUUGGUCAACCUCGUUCCAACCCUCUCUAGCAAUCCCUCCGUAGGUGCCACCUCUGCCGGUGUUCCCUGCAUCGGCGCUCCUUCCGUCUGUAAACACCUAUCCCUCCUGCGGCGGUGACUCACUCUGGUAAGGCCUCCCUCGGCGCUCACUCUCUGUCGCAAACCCUCCGUCGACGCUCUCUCUCGCAAACCCUCAAUCGUCACUCCUCCCUCCAUGGUUUGGCACCCGCCGCGUUGCCGUCUCCCUGUCUGAAGUCGUCGCACCACCGUCUCCACCUCCGUCACUCGUCGCACCUCCGUCAGCCACGUUCAGCGUUCGCAGCACCGUGGCUAAAAGAUAUCAAUUAUUUCUUCAGGAAUUGAAACAACAAGGGAUACAAGAAAAAAGGCUGCAGCUGCUUGUUAAUGUUAUUGGGGCUUUUAGGCCUGGAGUGUUGACAGGAUUGGUUGGAGUAAGCAGGGCUGGAAAAACCACGCUAAUGGAUGUCUUGGCUGGAAGAAAAACUGGAGGUGUUGUAAAGCUGCUCUGCUGGCCGUGCCGGGAAACCUACUGUUAGAUGGACUAAGAUACAAAUCUGGUUUGAGGAUAGGCUCGAAGACUUACCAGAUGACCCUAAUAAUGAAUUGAUGAUUCUUGAAGACCCUGAAUGUAAUAAGGAAGGAUUCAAUCGCAAAUGGAAUCCCUUUGGAAGAUUUUGGACAUGGUCAUCCUGAUCCUAAUCUAAGGACUGUUUUAGCUUGGCUUUCUAUUAUUGCGCACCGCAACAAAGACAAGAAGGCAGGGGAGAAACUGAUCUCUUUGGCUGAUGUUGUGAAGGAACACUGGGCAACUUAUGGAUUCUUUUCUAGAUAUGACUGAGGAAUGUGAAUCUGAAGGUGCCAAUAAAAUGGUAGCAUAUCUACGAGAGACUGCAUCAAAGAGCAAGAUUGGCGAUAAGUUCUAAUGAUAAUUUUGAUAGUUCUAAUGAUCUCCUAAGUUCUAAUGGUGAACUUAUUUUGUCCUAAUUCAAUUAUUAGUUUUGUUAAAGUAUUGUAAUUUUUUAAUUACAAUUUUAGCAUGUAAAUAAUUCAUGUAAAUCAA
Long non-coding RNA from Arachis stenosperma, 1229 nucleotides. RefSeq lists it as uncharacterized. The transcript is spliced from 7 exons. Lineage: Eukaryota; Viridiplantae; Streptophyta; Magnoliopsida; Fabales; Fabaceae. The record is from RefSeq and is a predicted model, not a curated record.